UACGUAGGGUGCAAGCGUUGUCCGGAAUUAUUGGGCGUAAAGAGCUCGUAGGCGGUCUGUCGCGUCUGCUGUGAAAACUCGGGGCUUAACCCCGGGCCUGCAGUGGGUACGGGCAGACUAGAGUGCGGUAGGGGAGACUGGAAUUCCUGGUGUAGCGGUGAAAUGCGCAGAUAUCAGGAGGAACACCGGUGGCGAAGGCGGGUCUCUGGGCCGAAACUGACGCUGAGGAGCGAAAGCGUGGGGAGCAAACAGG
This 253-nucleotide ribosomal RNA is filed under the name uncultured bacterium. RNAcentral's name for it is "partial 16S ribosomal RNA". It matches the Rfam family "Bacterial small subunit ribosomal RNA", at positions 524 to 776 of the family's 1533-position model. The record is from RNAcentral.